GAUGAACGCUGGCGGCGUGCCUAAUACAUGCAAGUCGAGCGAACGGACGAGAAGCUUGCUUCUCUGAUGUUAGCGGCGGACGGGUGAGUAACACGUGGAUAACCUACCUAUAAGACUGGGAUAACUUCGGGAAACCGGAGCUAAUACCGGAUAAUAUUUUGAACCGCAUGGUUCAAAAGUGAAAGACGGUCCUGCUGUCACUUAUAGAUGGAUCCGCGCUGCAUUAGCUAGUUGGUAAGGUAACGGCUUACCAAGGCAACGAUGCAUAGCCGACCUGAGAGGGUGAUCGGCCACACUGGAACUGAGACACGGUCCAGACUCCUACGGGAGGCAGCAGUAGGGAAUCUUCCGCAAUGGGCGAAAGCCUGACGGAGCAACGCCGCGUGAGUGAUGAAGGUCUUCGGAUCGUAAAACUCUGUUAUUAGGGAAGAACAUAUGUGUAAGUAACUGUGCACAUCUUGACGGUACCUAAUCAGAAAGCCACGGCUAACUACGU
Molecule: ribosomal RNA, 496 nt
Filed under: uncultured bacterium
Lineage: Bacteria
Description: partial 16S ribosomal RNA
Rfam family: Bacterial small subunit ribosomal RNA
Source: RNAcentral